This 568-nucleotide ribosomal RNA is filed under the name uncultured bacterium. Its description in RNAcentral is "partial 16S ribosomal RNA". It matches the Rfam family "Bacterial small subunit ribosomal RNA", at positions 355 to 912 of the family's 1533-position model. The record is from RNAcentral.
UGGGGAAUAUUGCACAAUGGGCGCAAGCCUGAUGCAGCCAUGCCGCGUGUGUGAAGAAGGCCUUCGGGUUGUAAAGCACUUUCAGCGAGGAGGAAGGUGGUGAGCUUAAUACGCUCAUCAAUUGACGUUACUCGCAGAAGAAGCACCGGCUAACUCCGUGCCAGCAGCCGCGGUAAUACGGAGGGUGCAAGCGUUAAUCGGAAUUACUGGGCGUAAAGCGCACGCAGGCGGUUUGUUAAGUCAGAUGUGAAAUCCCCGGGCUCAACCUGGGAACUGCAUUUGAAACUGGCAAGCUAGAGUCUCGUAGAGGGGGGUAGAAUUCCAGGUGUAGCGGUGAAAUGCGUAGAGAUCUGGAGGAAUACCGGUGGCGAAGGCGGCCCCCUGGACGAAGACUGACGCUCAGGUGCGAAAGCGUGGGGCAGCAAACAGGAUUAGAUACCCUGGUAGUCCACGCUGUAAACGAUGUCGAUUUUGGAGGUUGUGCCCCUUGAGGCGUGGCUUCCGGAGCUAACGCGUUAAAUCGACCGCCUGGGGAGUACGGCCGCAAGGUUAAAACUUAAAUGAAUUG